GAUGAACGCUGGCGGCGUGCCUAAUACAUGCAAGUCGAGCGAACAGAUAAGGAGCUUGCUCCUUUGACGUUAGCGGCGGACGGGUGAGUAACACGUGGGUAACCUACCUAUAAGACUGGGAUAACUUCGGGAAACCGGAGCUAAUACCGGAUAACAUUUGGAACCGCAUGGUUCUAAAGUGAAAGAUGGUUUUGCUAUCACUUAUAGAUGGACCCGCGCCGUAUUAGCUAGUUGGUAAGGUAACGGCUUACGAAGGCGACGAUACGUAGCCGACCUGAGAGGGUGAUCGGCCACACUGGAACUGAGACACGGUCCAGACUCCUACGGGAGGCAGCAGUAGGGAAUCUUCCGCAAUGGGCGAAAGCCUGACGGAGCAACGCCGCGUGAGUGAUGAAGGGUUUCGGCUCGUAAAACUCUGUUAUUAGGGAAGAACAAAUGUGUAAGUAACUGUGCACGUCUUGACGGUACCUAAUCAGAAAGCCACGGCUAACUACGUG
Molecule: ribosomal RNA, 497 nt
Filed under: uncultured bacterium
Lineage: Bacteria
Description: partial 16S ribosomal RNA
Rfam family: Bacterial small subunit ribosomal RNA
Source: RNAcentral